AGUGAACGCUGGCGGUAGGCCUAACACAUGCCAGUCGAACGGCAGCACAGUAAGAGCUUGCUCUUACGGGUGGCGAGUGGCGGACGGGUGAGGAAUACAUCGGAAUCUACUUUUUCGUGGGGGAUAACGUAGGGAAACUUACGCUAAUACCGCAUACGACCUACGGGUGAAAGCAGGGGAUCUUCGGACCUUGCGCGAUUGAAUGAGCCGAUGUCGGAUUAGCUAGUUGGCGGGGUAAAGGCCCACCAAGGCGACGAUCCGUAGCUGGUCUGAGAGGAUGAUCAGCCACACUGGAACUGAGACACGGUCCAGACUCCUACGGGAGGCAGCAGUGGGGAAUAUUGGCCAAUGGGCGCAAGCCUGAUCCAGCCAUACCGCGUGGGUGAAGAAGGCCUUCGGGUUGUAAAGCCCUUUUGUUGGGAAAGAAAAGCAGCAGGUUAAUACCCCGCUGUUCUGACGGUACCCAAAGAAUAAGCACCGGCUAACUUCGUG
RNAcentral lists this ribosomal RNA (492 nucleotides) under uncultured bacterium. RNAcentral's name for it is "partial 16S ribosomal RNA". It matches the Rfam family "Bacterial small subunit ribosomal RNA", at positions 29 to 507 of the family's 1533-position model. The record is from RNAcentral.